UGGCUCAGACGGUAAAGCAUCCGUCUGCAAUGCGGGAGACCCAGGUUCGAUUCCUGG
This 57-nucleotide transfer RNA is filed under the name Ovis aries (sheep). It matches the Rfam family "tRNA", at positions 8 to 63 of the family's 71-position model. Rfam says of the family: Transfer RNA (tRNA) molecules are approximately 80 nucleotides in length. The record is from Rfam by way of RNAcentral. Lineage: Eukaryota; Metazoa; Chordata; Mammalia; Artiodactyla; Bovidae.